AAGAGACCGUCCGACAUCCAAGGCUGUGGUAAUGCGUUUAUGACAAGUUUGUUUCAUUAGAUGUCUAGAAAUUGGGUGUGUUCGGAUCUACCAUUAGAUACACCUCUAUUUACCGCAGAUGGGGAUAUCAAACGUGUAUCAGCUGAUUUCAAGAUUACGUCUACACGGAUUAUUUACGCGAAAUCUACCUGAUGUUUACAUGGUCUUUUUGCUACGUAGACUUGUAAACUAUGUAGACUAUU
Long non-coding RNA from Wasmannia auropunctata (little fire ant), 242 nucleotides. RefSeq lists it as uncharacterized. The record is from RefSeq and is a predicted model, not a curated record. Lineage: Eukaryota; Metazoa; Arthropoda; Insecta; Hymenoptera; Formicidae. The transcript is spliced from 3 exons.